GAACGCUGGCGGCGUGCUUAACACAUGCAAGUCGAGCGGAAAGGCCCUUCGGGGUACUCGAGCGGCGAACGGGUGAGUAACACGUGAGUAACCUGCCCUCAACUUCGGGAUAAGCCUGGGAAACCGGGUCUAAUACCGGAUACGACCUGUGGUGGCAUCACUUCGGGUGGAAAGUUUUUUCGGUUGGGGAUGGGCUCGCGGCCUAUCAGCUUGUUGGUGGGGUAGUGGCCUACCAAGGCGACGACGGGUAGCCGGCCUGAGAGGGCGACCGGCCACACUGGGACUGAGACACGGCCCAGACUCCUACGGGAGGCAGCAGUGGGGAAUAUUGCGCAAUGGGCGGAAGCCUGACGCAGCGACGCCGCGUGGGGGAUGACGGCCUUCGGGUUGUAAACCUCUUUCAGCAGGGACGAAGUUGACGUGUACCUGUAGAAGAAGCGCCGGCUAACUACGUGCCAGCAGCCGCGGUAAUACGUAGGGCGCGAGCGUUGUCCGGAAUUAUUGGGCGUAAAGAGCUCGUAGGUGGCUUG
Molecule: ribosomal RNA, 530 nt
Filed under: Sphaerisporangium rufum
Lineage: Bacteria; Bacillati; Actinomycetota; Actinomycetes; Streptosporangiales; Streptosporangiaceae
Description: bacterial SSU rRNA
Rfam family: Bacterial small subunit ribosomal RNA
Source: RNAcentral